This 452-nucleotide ribosomal RNA is filed under the name uncultured bacterium. RNAcentral's name for it is "bacterial SSU rRNA". It matches the Rfam family "Bacterial small subunit ribosomal RNA", at positions 340 to 786 of the family's 1533-position model. The record is from RNAcentral.
UACGGGAGGCAGCAGGGAAUCUUCCGCAAUGGACGAAAGUCUGACGGAGCAACGCCGCGUGAACGAUGAAGGCUUUCGGGUCGUAAAGUUCUGUUGUUGGGGAAGAACAAGUACCAGAGUAACUGCUGGUACCUUGACGGUACCUAACCAGAAAGCCACGGCUAACUACGUGCCAGCAGCCGCGGUAAUACGUAGGUGGCAAGCGUUGUCCGGAAUUAUUGGGCGUAAAGCGCGCGCAGGUGGUUCUUUAAGUCUGAUGUGAAAGCCCACGGCUCAACCGUGAGGGUCAUUGGAAACUGGGGAACUUGAGUGCAGAAGAGGAAAGUGGAAUUCCACGUGUAGCGGUGAAAUGCGUAGAGAUGUGGAGGAACACCAGUGGCGAAGGCGACUUUUCUGGUCUGUAACUGACACUGAGGCGCGAAAGCGUGGGGAGCGAACAGGGAUUAGAUACC